Molecule: ribosomal RNA, 387 nt
Filed under: uncultured Planctomycetota bacterium
Lineage: Bacteria; Pseudomonadati; Planctomycetota
Description: bacterial SSU rRNA
Rfam family: Bacterial small subunit ribosomal RNA
Source: RNAcentral
GAUUUUCGCAAUGCCCGAAAGGGUCUGACCUAUCCCUGGAGGAAGCACGGGCUAAGUUCGUGCCAGCAGCCGCGGUAAGACGAACCGUGCGAACGUUGUUCGGAAUCACUGGGCUUAAAGGGCGCGUAGGCGGGCCGCAAAGUCAGGGGUGAAAUCCUCCAGCUCAACUGGAGAACUGCCUUUGAUACUGGCGGCCUGGAGUAAGGUAGGGGCAUGCGGAACUGAUGGUGGAGCGGUGAAAUGUGUUGAUAUCAUCAGGAACUCCGGUGGCGAAAGCGGCGUGCUGGACCUUUACUGACGCUGAGGCGCGAAAGCCAGGGGAGCAAACGGGAUUAGAUACCCCGGUAGUCCUGGCCCUAAACGAUGGGCACUAAGUAGAGGGGUUUU